GACGAACGCUGGCGGCGCGCCUAACACAUGCAAGUCGAACGAACGAGAGAGACUUUGCUUUCUCGAGCGAGUGGCGAACGGGUGAGUAACGCGUGAGUAACCUGCCUCAAAGAGGGGGACAACAGUUGGAAACGACUGCUAAUACCGCAUAAGCGCACGACCCGGCAUCGGGUAGAGGGAAAAGGAGCAAUCCGCUGUGAGAUGGCCUCGCUUCCGAUUAGCUAGGUGGUGAGGUAACGGCCCAUCAAGGCGACGAUCGGUAGCCGGGAUGGGAGGUUGAGCCGAGACACUUGGGGUAGGCCACAGACCAGAAUACUACGCGAGGGGGGAGAGGGGGAUACAGCAAAAUGGGGGAAGUGAUGAAGCAGCGCCGAGGGGAAGAGGAAGAAGGUCGUGGGAAAGUGCACUCAUGUUGUACAGGGAGAUAAUGACGGUACUCAAAAAAGAAGUGACGGCUAACUACGUG
RNAcentral lists this ribosomal RNA (466 nucleotides) under uncultured bacterium. RNAcentral describes it as "partial 16S ribosomal RNA". It matches the Rfam family "Bacterial small subunit ribosomal RNA", at positions 28 to 507 of the family's 1533-position model. The record is from RNAcentral.